This 537-nucleotide ribosomal RNA is filed under the name Triticum aestivum (bread wheat). Its description in RNAcentral is "partial small subunit ribosomal RNA". The record is from RNAcentral. Lineage: Eukaryota; Viridiplantae; Streptophyta; Magnoliopsida; Poales; Poaceae.
CCUUUGUCAAGUUCUGAAAAACUGUCUCUUACAGAAGGUACACCUCUUAGCAAAGAGGACAACACUAAAUAUAGGAGCUUAGUUGGUGCAUUACAGUACUUAACUUUGACACGACCUGAUAUCUCGUUUGCUGUCAACAAAGUAUGCCAGUUUCUUCAUGCACCCACCACUGUUCACUGGACUGCUGCUAAACGUAUAGUUCGAUAUGUCAAAAAUACUUUGAGCAUUGGUCUCAAUUUCAGCAAGUCACCAUCUACCUUGGUUAGUGCCUUCUCUGAUUCUGACUGGGCAGGCUGCCUGGAUGAUAGGCGUUCCACUGGUGGAUUUGCAGUGUUUUUUGGUCCCAACUUGAUCUCAUGGAGUGCAAGGAAACAGGCAACGGUGUCUAGAUCUAGUACAGAGGCAGAAUAUAAAGCAUUGGCAAAUGCAACAGCAGAAAUUAUAUGGGUUCAAUCUAUUCUGAAGGAACUUGGUGUGAAAAAUACCAAAGCUCCAUGUUUGUGGUGCGAUAAACUUGGUGCUACCUAUCUGUCUGCC